GAUGAACGCUGGCGGCGUGCUUAACACAUGCAAGUCGAACGGAAAGGCCCAAGCUUGCUUGGGUACUCGAGUGGCGAACGGGUGAGUAACACGUGGGUGAUCUGCCCUGCACUUCGGGAUAAGCCUGGGAAACUGGGUCUAAUACCGGAUAGGACGAUGGUCUGGAUGCCAUUGUGGAAAGUUUUUUCGGUGUGGGAUGAGCUCGCGGCCUAUCAGCUUGUUGGUGGGGUAAUGGCCUACCAAAGCGUCGACGGGUAGCCGGCCUGAGAGGGUGUACGGCGACAUUGGGACUGAGAUACGGCGCAGACACCUACGGGGGGCAGCAAUGUGGAAUAUUGCACAAUGGGCGCAGACCUGAUGCGGCGACGCGGCGUGGGGGAGGACGGCCUUCGGGUUGUAAACUCCGUUCGCUAGGGACGAAGCGUGUUUGUGACGGUACCGGGAGAAGAAGCACCGGCUAACUACGUG
This 468-nucleotide ribosomal RNA is filed under the name uncultured bacterium. RNAcentral's name for it is "partial 16S ribosomal RNA". It matches the Rfam family "Bacterial small subunit ribosomal RNA", at positions 28 to 507 of the family's 1533-position model. The record is from RNAcentral.